Molecule: ribosomal RNA, 449 nt
Filed under: uncultured bacterium
Lineage: Bacteria
Description: bacterial SSU rRNA
Rfam family: Bacterial small subunit ribosomal RNA
Source: RNAcentral
CCCAGACUCCUACGGGAGGCAGCAGUGGGGGAUAUUGCACAAUGGGGGGAACCCUGAUGCAGCGACGCCGCGUGGGUGAAGAAGUAUUUCGGUAUGUAAAGCCCUAUCGGCAGGGAAGAAAUUGGACGGUACCUGACUAAGAAGCCCUGGCUAACUACGUGCCAGCAGCCGCGGUAAUACGUAGGGGGCAAGCGUUAUCCGGAUUCACUGGGUGUAAAGGGAGCGUAGACGGCCAUGCAAGCCUGGAGUGAAAGCCCGGGGCCCAACCCCGGGACUGCUCUGGGAACUGUGCGGCUGGAGUGCGGGAGGGGCAGGCGGAAUUCCUGGUGUAGCGGUGAAAUGCGUAGAUAUCAGGAGGAACACCGGCGGCGAAGGCGGCCUGCUGGACCGCGACUGACGUUGAGGCUCGAAAGCGUGGGGAGCAAACAGGAUUAGAUACCCCAGUAACU